AUGCAAGUCGAACGGCAGCGCGGGGCAACCUGGCGGCGAGUGGCGAACGGGUGAGUAAUAUAUCGGAACGUACCCUGGAGUGGGGGAUAACGUAGCGAAAGUUACGCUAAUACCGCAUACGAUCUAAGGAUGAAAGUGGGGGAUGCGCAAGCACCUCAUGCUCCUGGAGCGGCCGAUAUCUGAUUAGCUAGUUGGUGGGGUAAAGGCCUACCAAGGCAUCGAUCAGUAGCUGGUCUGAGAGGACGACCAGCCACACUGGAACUGAGACACGGUCCAGACUCCUACGGGAGGCAGCAGUGGGGAAUUUUGGACAAUGGGCGAAAGCCUGAUCCAGCAAUGCCGCGUGAGUGAAGAAGGCCUUCGGGUUGUAAAGCUCUUUUGUCAGGGAAGAAACGGUGAAGGCUAAUAUCCUUUGCUAAUGACGGUACCUGAAGAAUAAGCACCGGCUAACUACGUGCCAGCAGCCGCGGUAAUACGUAGGGUGCAAGCGUUAAUCGGAAUUACUGGGCGUAAAGCGUGCGCAGGCGGUUUUGUAAGUCUGUCGUGAAAUCCCCGGGCUCAACCUGGGAAUUGCGAUGGAGACUGCAAGGCUAGAACCUGGCAGAGGGGGGUAGAAUUCCACGUGUAGCAGUGAAAUGCGUAGAGAUGUGGAGGAACACCGAUGGCGAAGGCAGCCCCCUGGGUCAAGAUUGACGCUCAUGCACGAAAGCGUGGGGAGCAAACAGGAUUAGAUACCCUGGUAGUCCACGCCCUAAACGAUGUCUACUAGUUGUCGGGUUUAAUUAACUUGGUAACGCAGCUAACGCGUGAAGUAGACCGCCUGGGGAGUACGUCGCAGAUAAACUCAAAGAUGACGGACCCGCACAGCGUGAUGAUGUGAUAUCGAUGCACGCGAAAACUACUACCUGACAUGUACGAGCACGAGAGAUCG
Molecule: ribosomal RNA, 931 nt
Filed under: uncultured bacterium
Lineage: Bacteria
Description: bacterial SSU rRNA
Rfam family: Bacterial small subunit ribosomal RNA
Source: RNAcentral